Molecule: small RNA, 731 nt
Filed under: Pan troglodytes (chimpanzee)
Lineage: Eukaryota; Metazoa; Chordata; Mammalia; Primates; Hominidae
Description: retained intron
Source: RNAcentral
GUUUCCUUAAGGAUCUCUACAUCAUAUAGUGAUCUGAAACAUGUGAAACCAUUUAUGUUGUAUGCAAAAAUUCGGAACACACUGUCUUCGAAAUCUGAAAUGGAACAUAAAAAUAAUAACAUACAUUUAUUGGAUACUUCACUGUGCAUCAGUUUCCAAGCUAAGCACUUGAUACAUGCCAUCUCAUUUAAUCCCCACAAGAAUCCUACAAGGUCAGUACUGUACUGUUAUUAUCGUUUUUCAAUAGAUGAUAAAACGGAGAAUUGCAGAAGUUAGGUAAUUUACCAGAGGUUAGUUAGUGAGUAGCAGAUCCAGGUCAUGAAGGUGGGUCUCUCUGAACAGACCACAUGCUGUUAAGCAUUAUAUUAUAUUGCUGUCAGACAAAGCAAAAGGUCAGUGAGGCUUUAUAUUAUAGGAGCUGUUAUGAGAAGAAUCUGGGACUGCAGUGUCCCCCCAAAUAGAGAGGGAGCCGAGAGACCAAAGAAUGACUCAGACAAGUCCAGGAAGCGAAAUGUGGUGAUUUUAAAGCUGUUAUAGUGGAAGUAUCAGGACAAGCCCAUUACACGGGUACAGCAAGCUUUAUAGUAGAAGAUGACGACCCACUGAGAGAUGGAUUUCUUCUCAAGUGACUUCUUCCAUGAUUUCAAGGGCUUUCUUUUUAAAGUAAUCAUUAUCCUUAAGGACUGUUUUCUCUAAAUUAUAUGAAAACAAAUAAAUUAUACAUAUAAACU